RNAcentral lists this ribosomal RNA (253 nucleotides) under uncultured bacterium. RNAcentral's name for it is "partial 16S ribosomal RNA". It matches the Rfam family "Bacterial small subunit ribosomal RNA", at positions 524 to 776 of the family's 1533-position model. The record is from RNAcentral.
UACGUAGGGGGCUAGCGUUGUCCGGAAUCAUUGGGCGUAAAGCGCGUGUAGGCGGCUUGGUAAGUCCGGUGUGAAACCUUGGGGCUCAACCCCAAGCCUGCACUGGAUACUGCCUCGCUUGAGUCCGGGAGGGGAGAGCGGAAUUCCUGGUGUAGCGGUGAAAUGCGCAGAUAUCAGGAAGAACACCAAUGGCGAAGGCAGCUCUCUGGGACGGUACUGACGCUGAGACGCGAAAGCGUGGGGAGCGAACAGG